RNAcentral lists this ribosomal RNA (1991 nucleotides) under Phocaeicola sartorii JCM 16497. Its description in RNAcentral is "bacterial LSU rRNA". It matches the Rfam family "Bacterial large subunit ribosomal RNA", at positions 1 to 2004 of the family's 2925-position model. Lineage: Bacteria; Pseudomonadati; Bacteroidota; Bacteroidia; Bacteroidales; Bacteroidaceae. The record is from RNAcentral.
GAAAGUAAGCAAGGGCGCAUGGCGGAUGCCUUGGCUCUCGGAGGCGAUGAAGGACGUGAUAAGCUGCGACAAGCUUCGGGGAGGUGCAAAUAACCUUUGAUCCGAAGAUUUCCGAAUGGGACAACCCAAUAUCCUGAAGGGAUAUUAUCCUACUUAGUAGGAGGCUAACGCAGGGAACUGAAACAUCUUAGUACCUGCAGGAAAAGAAAAUAAACAAUGAUUCCCCAAGUAGUGGCGAGCGAACGGGGAAGAGCCCAAACCAUUUAUGUUACGGCAUACAUGGGGUUGUAGGACCACGAUAUUGCAUGAAAACAACAGAGAGGAAUGAUCUGGAAAGUUCAACCAUAGAGCAUGAAAGUUGCGUAUUCGAAUGUUGUCGAAGCAUAGUGGUAUCCUGAGUAGCGCGGAGCACGAGGAAUUCUGCGUGAAUCUGCCGGGACCAUCCGGUAAGGCUAAAUACUCCCGAGAGACCGAUAGCGAACCAGUACCGUGAGGGAAAGGUGAAAAGCACUUCGAACAGAAGAGUGAAACAGUCCCUGAAACCGUGCGCCUACAAGCGGUCGGAGCAGCGUAAGCUGUGACGGCGUGCCUUUUGCAUAAUGAACCUACGAGUUGCCGUUGCCGGCAAGGUUAAGGGUGAUGACACCCGAAGCCGAAGCGAAAGCGAGUCUGAAUAGGGCGCCUGAGUCGGCAGUGGCAGACGCGAAACCAAGUGAUCUACCCUUGACCAGGUUGAAGGCUGGGUAACACCAGCUGGAGGACCGAACCAAUAAGCGUUGAAAAGCUUCUGGAUGAGUUGAGGGUAGGGGUGAAAGGCUAAUCAAACUUGGAGAUAGCUCGUACUCCCCGAAAUGCAUUUAGGUGCAGCCUUGCGGGUUACUGAUGUGAGGUAGAGCGACUGAUAAGAUGCGAGGGCUUCACCGCCUAUCAAGUCUUGACAAACUCCGAAUGCGCAUCAGUCCUACCGCAGGAGUGAGGGCAUGGGUGCUAAGGUCCGUGCCCGAGAGGAGAAGAAUCCGGAUCACCUGCUAAGGUCCCGAAAUGACAGCUAAGUUAAACUAACGAAGUCGGACUGCCAUGACAGCUAGGAUGUUGGCUUGGAAGCAGCCAUUCAUUUAAAGAGUGCGUAACAGCUCACUAGUCGAGGAGUCCGGCGUGGAUAAUAAUCGGGUAUGAAGUUGUCUACCGAAGCAGUGGGAUCAUGUAAAUGAUCGGUAGGGGAGCAUUCCACUCCGCGUUGAAGGCGUACCGUGAGGUAUUCUGGAGCGUGUGGAAAAGCAAAUGUAGGUAUAAGUAACGAUAAAGCAGGUGAGAAACCUGCUCGCCGCAAGACCAAGGUUUCCUGAUCAACGCUAAUCGGAUCAGGGUCAGUCGGGUCCUAAGGCUCAGCCGAACGGCGAGGCCGAUGGCAGAAACGGUUAAUAUUCCGUUACUACCUUUACGGGCGAUGUGGAGACGCAGAAGUGACAGUGCCGCCAUCUGACGGAAUAGAUGGUUGAAGGGUGUAGAAGCUGAUCGUGGCAGGCAAAUCCACCACGUGAUUCGAACCUGAGAGUAUGCCGCGUCCUCCGGGACAAGGCAAUAGUGUACGUAAUCAUACUGCCGAGAAAAUCCGCUAAGCUAUACCGUAAAGGUACCCGUACCGUAAACGGACACACGUGGUCGGGAUGAAUAUUCUAAGGCGCUUGAGUGAUUCACGGUUAAGGAACUAGGCAAACUGACCCUGUAACUUCGGGAUAAAGGGUCCCUCCUCGCAAGAGAGGGCGCAGAGAAUAGGUCCAGGCAACUGUUUAACAAAAACACAGGGCUGUGCGAAAUCGAAAGAUCCGGUAUACAGCCUGACACCUGCCCGGUGCUGGAAGGUUAAGAGGAGACGUCAUCGCAAGAGAAGCGUUGAAUUGAAGCCCCAGUAAACGGCGGCCGUAACUAUAACGGUCCUAAGGUAGCGAAAUUCCUUGUCGGGUAAGUUCCGACCUGCACGAAUGGUGUAA